This 252-nucleotide ribosomal RNA is filed under the name Murdochiella asaccharolytica. RNAcentral describes it as "partial 16S ribosomal RNA". It matches the Rfam family "Bacterial small subunit ribosomal RNA", at positions 524 to 776 of the family's 1533-position model. Lineage: Bacteria; Bacillati; Bacillota; Tissierellia; Tissierellales; Peptoniphilaceae. The record is from RNAcentral.
UACGUAGGGGGCGAGCGUUGUCCGGAAUUAUUGGGCGUAAAGGGUACGUAGGCGGUCUUUUAGGUUUGACGUGAAAGCCUGGGGCUUAACCCCAGUAAGCGUUGAAAACCGGGAGACUUGAGUAGCGGAAGGGACAGUGGAAUUCCUAGUGUAGCGGUGAAAUGCUUAGAGAUUAGGAAGAAUACCGGUGGCGAAGGCGACUGUCUGGACGCAAACUGACGCUGAGGUACGAAAGCGUGGGUAGCAAACAGG